This 761-nucleotide ribosomal RNA is filed under the name uncultured Peptostreptococcus sp. Its description in RNAcentral is "bacterial SSU rRNA". It matches the Rfam family "Bacterial small subunit ribosomal RNA", at positions 28 to 776 of the family's 1533-position model. Lineage: Bacteria; Bacillati; Bacillota; Clostridia; Peptostreptococcales; Peptostreptococcaceae. The record is from RNAcentral.
GAUGAACGCUGGCGGCGUGCCUAACACAUGCAAGUCGAGCGAGGGUUUGCUCAGUAUUGAGUAUUCUAAAACUAGAAUGUUCAAUUCUGAGCAAAACCAAGCGGCGGACGGGUGAGUAACGCGUGGGUAACCUGCCCUAUACACAUGGGUAACAUACUGAAAAGUCUACUAAUACAUGAUAAUAUAUAUUUGCGGCAUCGCAGAUAUAUCAAAGUGUUAGCGGUAUAGGAUGGACCCGCGUCUGAUUAGCUAGUUGGUGAGAUAACUGCCCACCAAGGCGACGAUCAGUAGCCGACCUGAGAGGGUGAUCGGCCACAUUGGAACUGAGACACGGUCCAAACUCCUACGGGAGGCAGCAGUGGGGAAUAUUGCACAAUGGGCGAAAGCCUGAUGCAGCAACGCCGCGUGAACGAUGAAGGUCUUCGGAUCGUAAAGUUCUGUUGCAGGGGAAGAUAAUGACGGUACCCUGUGAGGAAGCCCCGGCUAACUACGUGCCAGCAGCCGCGGUAAUACGUAGGGGGCUAGCGUUAUCCGGAUUUACUGGGCGUAAAGGGUGCGUAGGUGGUCCUUCAAGUCGGUGGUUAAAGGCUACGGCUCAACCGUAGUAAGCCGCCGAAACUGGAGGACUUGAGUGCAGGAGAGGAAAGUGGAAUUCCCAGUGUAGCGGUGAAAUGCGUAGAUAUUGGGAGGAACACCAGUAGCGAAGCGGCUUUCUGGACUGCAACUGACACUGAGGCACGAAAGCGUGGGUAGCAAACAGG